Hyla sarda is the source of this 299-nucleotide long non-coding RNA. RefSeq lists it as uncharacterized. Lineage: Eukaryota; Metazoa; Chordata; Amphibia; Anura; Hylidae. The transcript has 3 exons. The record is from RefSeq and is a predicted model, not a curated record.
UGAAUAUGCUAACUAAGGAGAUGGCUGAUUGAGAAGACGGAAAGAAGCAGCCUGCGGGGCCCCGCCUCCUGCGCCCGACUCCCUGAAUUCAGAAGGGGAACUUUGCCAGUGCAUAUUUUGGUGAGUCUUCCUGUGACAACAGAGGGGAGGACUACGGGACCUAGUCAUGAAAAAUCCUAUUCUUCACUGCAGAGUUUUAGCUCCCAGGGCCAUCAAAUAUGAUCGUUUGUUUAUGUGAUUCAAGGAUUUCGCUUGAAGAAUGUGAAAAACCGGCACACAAAUGAACCAAAAAAAAAAAA